UACGAAGGGUGCAAGCGUUAAUCGGAAUUACUGGGCGUAAAGCGCGCGUAGGUGGUUCGGUAAGUUGGAAGUGAAAGCCCUGGGCUCAACCUGGGAAUUGCUUUCAAAACUGCCGAGCUAGAGUAUGGCAGAGGGUGGUGGAAUUUCCUGUGUAGCGGUGAAAUGCGUAGAUAUAGGAAGGAACAUCAGUGGCGAAGGCGACCGCCUGGGCUAAUACUGACACUGAGGUGCGAAAGCGUGGGGAGCAAACAGG
Molecule: ribosomal RNA, 253 nt
Filed under: uncultured bacterium
Lineage: Bacteria
Description: partial 16S ribosomal RNA
Rfam family: Bacterial small subunit ribosomal RNA
Source: RNAcentral